This 510-nucleotide ribosomal RNA is filed under the name uncultured bacterium. RNAcentral describes it as "partial 16S ribosomal RNA". It matches the Rfam family "Bacterial small subunit ribosomal RNA", at positions 28 to 507 of the family's 1533-position model. The record is from RNAcentral.
GACGAACGCUGGCGGCGUGCUUAACACAUGCAAGUCGAACGAAGAGCGAUGGAUUCUUUCGUCUAUCAAUCUUAGUGGCGAACGGGUGAGUAACGCGUAAUCAACCUGCCCUUCAGAGGGGGACAACAGAUGGAAACGACUGCUAAUACCACAUACGAUCCGACCUCGGCAUCGAGGAUGGAUUAAAGGUGGCCUCUAUUUAUAAGCUAUCACUGAAGGAGGGGAUUGCGUCUGAUUAGCUAGUUGGAGGGGUAACGGCCCACCAAGGCAAUGAUCAGUAGCCGGUCUGAGAGGAUGGACGGCCAAAUUGGGACUGAGACACGGCCCAGACUCCUGCGGGAGGCAGCAGGGGGGAAUCUUCCGCAAUGGACGAAAGGCUGACGGAGGAAGGCGGCGUGAGGGAUGACGGACGUCGGGUUGUAAAGCUCUGUUAAUCGGGACGAAAGGUCUUCUUGCGAAUAGUUAGAAGAAUUGACGGUACCGGAAGAGAAAGCCACGGCUAACUACGUG